Molecule: ribosomal RNA, 369 nt
Filed under: uncultured Eubacteriales bacterium
Lineage: Bacteria; Bacillati; Bacillota; Clostridia; Eubacteriales
Description: bacterial SSU rRNA
Rfam family: Bacterial small subunit ribosomal RNA
Source: RNAcentral
AGGGGGCAAGCGUUAUCCGGAUUUACUGGGUGUAAAGGGAGCGUAGACGGCAGCGCAAGUCUGGAGUGAAAUGCCGGGGCCCAACCCCGGAACUGCUUUGGAAACUGUGCAGCUUGAGUGCGGGAGAGGUAAGUGGAAUUCCUAGUGUAGCGGUGAAAUGCGUAGAUAUUAGGAGGAACACCAGUGGCGAAGGCGGCUUACUGGACCGUAACUGACGUUGAGGCUCGAAAGCGUGGGGAGCAAACAGGAUUAGAUACCCUGGUAGUCCACGCCGUAAACGAUGAUUACUAGGUGUCGGGGGACCAAGGUCCUCCGGUGCCGGCGCAAACGCAUUAAGUAAUCCACCUGGGGAGUACGUUCGCAAGAAUG